This is a long non-coding RNA of Bombus terrestris (buff-tailed bumblebee), 1670 nucleotides long. RefSeq lists it as uncharacterized. The record is from RefSeq and is a predicted model, not a curated record. NCBI's taxonomy places the organism in Eukaryota, Metazoa, Arthropoda, Insecta, Hymenoptera, Apidae. The transcript has 3 exons.
ACAAGUAACAGCUCAACAACAAGCUCUAAAGAAGCUUCAACAAUGGGAUGUUUAGGGAAUUGCAGCGCCAUUGACAUAAUCACUAGGGUGAUCACUUCUAGUGACUACUCAUCAUGGUUUAGUCAUGACCAGCUGAGGCAGGCAAAAAGGAUCUUGACCAAGUUCUAGUCUCUUGCUAUACGGGAUACUGAUCUUUGAGACAAGAUACGGUUGAAGAGCUAGGGGGAAAUAAACCUGGAAAUAAAGACGGCUCCUUAGCCAGUUUUACUCUUGCUUAUAUCAAGCUAAUGAAUUAAUUAGCGGUGAGGCCACGGCUGACCAGCAUCGUCAUCCUCGUUGUCAAGUGCUAAGCAAACGAGAAAUACGCGUCUACCCAGCCAGAUUUUUACCUACAUUAAGAGGAAGGCCCCCACAGUGUAUUCGUAAACACGUUUCUUUGAGGUGUAUUCAGACAGAGGAUGGAGGAAGAGGAGUCGAAUAUAAUCGAAUGCAGAUGGUAUCUUUUCUUGCAUAUUUCCGAUGAUGCAACAAGAUUAAUUCACGUUCGUUUAUCGCACUAUUGAGCAAGGAAUUUCGUGCAAAGAGAAUGAAAAAAAAGAUGAAGAGGGUGAAAACAGCGUACUGAUAGGUGGAGUGGCGUGUGUAAUGGUUUCGUUAGCGCAAUCUUCGUCGCUCUGAUCCGGACAAUCCGGGUGGCCGUCGCACCUGUAGACACCCUCGAUGCACUUGUUCCCGGUGACGCAUUUGAACUGGGUGGGUGUGCAUUCCCGUUCUGUUUGUGUGGUCGUUUGUGUCGCAGCAGGAAUACACGGGAGCAGAGAACACACAUUUAUAUAUACAGAUAUGUUGACAAUGCUGCUGAACAGGGGAUGGUUUUUUGUUCAGGGGGACUCGAUCGUUCGUCCAUUGAAGAAGAAUUUUUUGCCUUUAACACUAGAUCUCGUCUGUUCCAUCUUUGGAAAAUGAUCGAGCUUGGAAUUUUCUAAAAACUUCAGUUUCAUGAAAGUUAAGAAACUAUUAUAUAUUAGGAUGUUGAUUUAUAUUUCUUCUUCCACGUCUACGUUAUCCGGUUGAUAACUAAAAAUUCUUGAGAUUUAAAUGUUUCAAAAAUUACAAUUUCAUUAUAAAUCGUAAUAAAUAAAAAUAAAUUUCUGUUUAAUGAGUUUUACAGAUGUUUAAAGAGUUUCUUUAUAGUUUAUUAUAUUCGGCUGUUAUUUUAUACUUCUUCUUCAGUGUCUAGUUACCUUGUCCUCCUGAUAGAGGAUAAACGUUGCGCGUUGAAGAGGGGGGAUCACCUGUAGGGUUUCGAUUCUGUUAUGACAUCACGAAAAGCUCGAAGCUCGUCCACGAACAACGAAAGCGUUCGACGAACAACGAUACAAAAACUAUUGCUUUGAACAAUACGGGAGAGGGACGAUCGACCCUCUCAUUCUAGCGUUUUAAAUUGGAUUAAGGAAAGUCCUCUAAACUUUCUGGGGACUCAGGACGCGUGAAUCUAUAUACAAUUAAUAAUCUAGAGAGGUGAGGGUUAAAACUUUGAAACUACAAAUGUACAAAUGUAGGCACGGCGGGUAACAAAAGCUUUGACGUUUUUCUUUUCCUUUCUUCACUAUUUUUCGGUUGACCAGCAACUGAUUUUUCAUCCAGGAUAAUAUAACUAUAUUAAAGUA